Molecule: long non-coding RNA, 718 nt
Organism: Cannabis sativa
Lineage: Eukaryota; Viridiplantae; Streptophyta; Magnoliopsida; Rosales; Cannabaceae
Exons: 2
Source: RefSeq, a predicted model, not a curated record
UUCGUCCAACAUGGACUGCUGGACGUGAGGUUCUAAAAAACAAAAUUGAUCAACCCAUUAUUUUUAUUUAUUUUUUAUUAUUAUUAUUAUUAUCUACUCUUUUCUCUCUAUUUUCUUUUCUCAUUUAAUAAACCUAAACCUAAAAAAACCCUUCUCCCCUCUUCUCAUCUACUCAGUCGCUCACUGCAACUUAUUUUCCAGAUCUCUCAUCUCAUCACUUCUUAUUUGCAGGCUGUGGCCGGCGGGGACAGGACGAGGACGUUCACAACGUUCGACGGUGACGGGAAAGGAAGCCCGUGGCCCAGAUCUGGGAUCUCAGCGGAGCUGCGUAGAUCUGCACCGCCUCUCUAACCUUUUCUCGUUCUAGCUCCGACUAGCGAGAUGGCCACGACGAUGACGGUGAUGAUGCAUGAGAAACGAGGAAUCUUGCACCACCGUGGUGCUCGCAGACCUCGAAAAAACUAGACAUUGGAGGAUUGGCUGAAUUCCUCAAAUCAUUGAUCGAAGAAAUCUUGAAAGCAAAUAAAUUAGCAGAAGGGAGGCGAUAUAAUUUUUGUAAUUAUAUUAUAUUAUUAUUAUUAUAUUAUUUUUGUAAUUAAUUUGUAUAUAUUUUUGGUAUAUUUGGAUAUGUAAUUUUUUUUUUUUAAUUUAAAAUUUUGUAGUUUGUUCUGUAUAUAUUUUUUUUAAGUGAUAAUAUUGUGUUUUGAUCUACUAAGUA